This 529-nucleotide ribosomal RNA is filed under the name uncultured bacterium. RNAcentral's name for it is "partial 16S ribosomal RNA". It matches the Rfam family "Bacterial small subunit ribosomal RNA", at positions 355 to 899 of the family's 1533-position model. The record is from RNAcentral.
UGGGGAAUAUUGCACAAUGGGCGAAAGCCUGAUGCAGCAACGCCGCGUGAGUGAUGAAGGCCUUCGGGUUGUAAAGCUCUGUCUUUUGGGACGAUAAUGACGGUACCAAAGGAGGAAGCCACGGCUAACUACGUGCCAGCAGCCGCGGUAAUACGUAGGUGGCAAGCGUUGUCCGGAUUUUACUGGGCGUAAAGGAUGCGUAGGCGGAUUUUUAAGUGAGAUGUGAAAACCCUAAGCUUAACUUGGGGACUGCAUUUCAUACUGGAAAUCUAGAGUGCGGGAGAGGAGAAUGGAAUUCCUAGUGUAGCGGUGAAAUGCGUAGAGAUUAGGAAGAACACCAGUGGCGAAGGCGAUUCUCUGGACCGUAACUGACGCUGAGGCAUGAAAGCGUGGGUAGCAAACAGGAUUAGAUACCCUGGUAGUCCACGCCGUAAACGAUGAGUACUAGGUGUAGGAGGUAUCGACCCCUUCUGUGCCGCAGUUAACACAAUAAGUACUCCGCCUGGGAAGUACGAUCGCAAGAUUAAAA